This 207-nucleotide ribosomal RNA is filed under the name uncultured bacterium. RNAcentral's name for it is "partial 16S ribosomal RNA". It matches the Rfam family "Bacterial small subunit ribosomal RNA", at positions 568 to 775 of the family's 1533-position model. The record is from RNAcentral.
UGCGUAGGUGGCCGGGUAAGUCUGACGUGAAAUCUCCAAGCUCAACUUGGAAACUGCGUCGGAUACUAUCCGGCUAGAGGAUCGGAGGGGAGACUGGAAUACUUGGUGUAGCAGUGAAAUGCGUAGAUAUCAAGUGGAACACCAGUGGCGAAGGCGAGUCUCUGGACGAUUCCUGACACUGAGGACGAAAGCCAGGGGAGCGAAACG